GGGGGGGGGGGGGGGGGGGGGGAGCGCGGGGGGGUCGGGGGGGGGGGCCCGGUUGGGGGUCCUCGAGGGGCGGACGGGGGCGUAACAGGGGGGUACCCUGCCCUUGCCGUCGGGGUAACUUCGGGAAACUGGGGCUACUACCGGAUAGGAAUCCUUGCUGCAUGGUGGGGGUUGGAAGGCUUCGGCGGUUUUGGAUGGACUCGCGGCUUAUCCGCUUGUUGGUGGGGUCGUGGCUUACCCAGGCUUUGACGGGCAGCCGGCCUGAGAGGGCGACAGGCCACAUUGGGACUGAGAUACGGCCCAGACGCCGACGGGAGGAAGCAGUGGGGAAUAUUGCACAAGGGGCGGAAGCCUGAUGCAGCAACGCCGCGUGCGGGAUGACGGCCUUCGGGUUGUAAACCGCUUUCAGCAGGGGCGAAGCUUGUGGUGACGGUACCUGCAGAAGAAGCACCGGCUAACUACGUG
This 465-nucleotide ribosomal RNA is filed under the name uncultured bacterium. RNAcentral's name for it is "partial 16S ribosomal RNA". It matches the Rfam family "Bacterial small subunit ribosomal RNA", at positions 39 to 507 of the family's 1533-position model. The record is from RNAcentral.